AAACGUUUAAAUUAACGCGGUUUUGUUUUUGAAAGUCAAAUGUGACGCGGCCGUUUAAUAUUGUAAGGGUGAUUUGAUUAAUUAGAGGUUACUUGCUAGUUGCGGCACAGUUCUUACUUUUUAAGAUAUUUAGGACAACAGUUUAAUAAACAUUUCAGAUUUUUCUCAUGUUCAUAUGUAACGUUUGUUAAAAUAAUCAUUUCUCAUGUUUAUAUGUAACUUGUUUGUUAAAAUAAUCAUUAUAAUUGGUUAAGCACUUGUAUGUUUCUUUUUUAUCUAAGAUUAUUUGGUGAAUAUAUAACUGGGCGUUGGUCUUUUCCGUGUACUAAAAUAUCUAAACAUGACAAAGGAGAUGUAUACAUGUGUGGAUGAGAUGAUACUUAGUGCGGUAGUUGGUUUUGGGAGAUUGUAAAGAGAGUCAUCUUUACAAUGUCAUACAAACC
Molecule: long non-coding RNA, 443 nt
Filed under: Brassica napus (rape)
Lineage: Eukaryota; Viridiplantae; Streptophyta; Magnoliopsida; Brassicales; Brassicaceae
Description: long non-coding RNA (BNAP_LNC008984)
Source: RNAcentral